Molecule: ribosomal RNA, 96 nt
Filed under: uncultured bacterium
Lineage: Bacteria
Description: partial 16S ribosomal RNA
Rfam family: Bacterial small subunit ribosomal RNA
Source: RNAcentral
CACCGCCCGUCACAUCACGAAAAGUGGGCUGUACUAGAAGUCCGCAGGCUAACCGCAAGGAGGCAGCGGCCCAAGGUAUGGUUCAUGAUUGGGGUG